RNAcentral lists this small RNA (167 nucleotides) under Nothoprocta perdicaria. RNAcentral's name for it is "TUC338 (ENSNPEG00000015669.1)". The record is from RNAcentral. Lineage: Eukaryota; Metazoa; Chordata; Aves; Tinamiformes; Tinamidae.
GCAGCAGUUCUGGAGAGCAGAUACUCUACCUAGGUACAGCACAAGUGAGUGAGAGCCAGCUUCCCAUACACUCUCCUGCCAAGAAAUCUUCAUGCUGAUCUGUGGAAAGAAACCCCUAGGCAAGACAGAACAGUUUGGUCACCACAGUCCAUUCAGUCUUAGGUUUU